GUCAGGAUGGCCGAGUGGUCUAAGGCGCCUGACUCAACUUCUGGUCCACGAAUGUGGGCGUGGGUUUCGAAUCCCACUUCUGACA
RNAcentral lists this transfer RNA (85 nucleotides) under Caerostris extrusa. Its description in RNAcentral is "tRNA-Leu". It matches the Rfam family "tRNA". From Rfam's summary of the family: Transfer RNA (tRNA) molecules are approximately 80 nucleotides in length. Lineage: Eukaryota; Metazoa; Arthropoda; Arachnida; Araneae; Araneidae. The record is from RNAcentral.